RNAcentral lists this ribosomal RNA (446 nucleotides) under uncultured organism. Its description in RNAcentral is "partial 16S ribosomal RNA". It matches the Rfam family "Bacterial small subunit ribosomal RNA", at positions 333 to 796 of the family's 1533-position model. The record is from RNAcentral.
ACACUCCUGCGGGAGGCAGCAGUGGGGAAUAUUGGACAAUGGGCGCAAGCCUGAUCCAGCCAUGCCGCGUGAGUGAUGAAGGCCCUAGGGUUGUAAAGCUCUUUCACCGGUGAAGAUAAUGACGGUAACCGGAGAAGCAGCCCCGGCUAACUUCGUGCCAGCAGCCGCGGUAAUACGAAGGGGGCUAGCGUUGUUCGGAUUUACUGGGCGUAAAGCGCACGUAGGCGGACUAUUAAGUCAGGGGUGAAAUCCCGGGGCUCAACCCCGGAACUGCCUUUGAUACUGGUAGUCUUGAGUUCGAGAGAGGUGAGUGGAAUUCCGAGUGUAGAGGUGAAAUUCGUAGAUAUUCGGAGGAACACCAGUGGCGAAGGCGGCUCACUGGCUCGAUACUGACGCUGAGGUGCGAAAGCGUGGGGAGCAAACAGGAUUAGAUACCCGAGUAGUCC